RNAcentral lists this transfer RNA (87 nucleotides) under Acidobacteriota bacterium. RNAcentral describes it as "Acidobacteria bacterium tRNA-Leu". It matches the Rfam family "tRNA". Rfam says of the family: Transfer RNA (tRNA) molecules are approximately 80 nucleotides in length. The record is from RNAcentral. Lineage: Bacteria; Pseudomonadati; Acidobacteriota.
GCCGAAGUGGCGGAAUUGGCAGACGCGCAUGGUUCAGGUCCAUGUGCCCGCAAGGGCGUGGGGGUUCGAGUCCCUUCUUCGGCACGA